This 253-nucleotide ribosomal RNA is filed under the name uncultured bacterium. RNAcentral describes it as "partial 16S ribosomal RNA". It matches the Rfam family "Bacterial small subunit ribosomal RNA", at positions 524 to 776 of the family's 1533-position model. The record is from RNAcentral.
UACGUAGGGUGCAAGCGUUAAUCGGAAUUACUGGGCGUAAAGCGUGCGCAGGCGGUUUUGUAAGUCAGAUGUGAAAUCCCCGGGCUUAACCUGGGAACUGCGUUUGAAACUACAAGGCUAGAGUGUGGCAGAGGGGGGUGGAAUUCCGCGUGUAGCAGUGAAAUGCGUAGAUAUGCGGAGGAACACCGAUGGCGAAGGCAAUCCCCUGGACCUGUACUGACGCUCAUGCACGAAAGCGUGGGGAGCAAACAGG